GAUCCUGGCUCAGGAUGAACGCUGGCGGCGUGCUUAACACAUGCAAGUCGAACGAAGCGCUUGAGAUUGAUUCUUCGGAAGAUUUCUCUUGUGACUUAGUGGCGGACGGGUGAGUAACGCGUGGGUAACCUGCCUCACACAGGGGGAUAACAGUUGGAAACGACCGCUAAUACCGCAUAACCCGUUAGGGCCGCAUGGCCCGGACGGAAAAGAUUUAUCGGUGUGAGAUGGACCCGCGUUGGAUUAGCUAGUUGG
This 255-nucleotide ribosomal RNA is filed under the name uncultured bacterium. Its description in RNAcentral is "partial 16S ribosomal RNA". It matches the Rfam family "Bacterial small subunit ribosomal RNA", at positions 15 to 252 of the family's 1533-position model. The record is from RNAcentral.